UACAGAGGGUGGGAGCGUUAUUCGGAAUUACUGGGCGUAAAGCGCGCGUAGGCGGCUUUGUAAGUCGGGUGUGAAAUCCCCAGGCUUAACCUGGGAACUGCAUUCGAUACUGCCGUGCUUGAGGACUGGAGAGGAGACUGGAAUUUACGGUGUAGCGGUGAAAUGCGUAGAUAUCGUAAGGAAGACCAGUGGCGAAGGCGGGUCUCUGGACAGUUCCUGACGCUGAGGCACGAAGGUCAGGGGAGCAAACGGG
RNAcentral lists this ribosomal RNA (253 nucleotides) under uncultured bacterium. RNAcentral's name for it is "partial 16S ribosomal RNA". It matches the Rfam family "Bacterial small subunit ribosomal RNA", at positions 524 to 776 of the family's 1533-position model. The record is from RNAcentral.